UCUUUUCGGUCUGAGUUGUAUGUAAUUAACAAAACGGUGCUGCCAAGAUGUAGAAACAAAACGGUAAUAUAUUUCGUGAUAUUACAAAAUCCCGCGAUAGGAUAGAUUAUCUCGCGAGAUCUCGCGUUCUUCCGGAACAUUGAGCAAGCACGAGAAGAGGACUCGAUGAGGGAGAUGUAUCGAUAUAUAUUAUGCAAAAUCUACUGUUGGAUGCUGUGAAGAGGUGGAGACUCUGAAGUGGAUGCAGCAAUGGCAGAACACCUGAAGCACGCUCCAGGAAGAGCUGAGGCUGGUGGAUACAAGAAAUGAGCCAAACAACUGUAAUGUGUUUAAGGGAUAGUUCAUCCAAAAAUCAAAAUAGUCAUAAUUUUUCUCACCCUCAUGUGUCAAACCUAUAUACCGUUCUAUGUUCUGCUGAACACAAAGAUGUUUGGAAGAAUGUUUGUAACCAAGCAGAUCUCGCCUCCUAUUAACUAUCAUAAUAAUUUCUCCUACAAAGGUAGUAAAUGGGUUGUGAGAUCUGCUUGGUUACAAACAUUCUUCCAAAUAUCUUUGUUUAUUAGACAACUGUGUAAGUUAGUGACAAGAUUAAUAAAGACAUGAUAAAAAGAAACCGACUUUUAACAUUCUAGUAGAAAACACGUAAACGCAUUCUCAGAAAUGUAAUAUUUGAAUUCAUGUCGGUUCUAUACAGUUUAAAAUCAUUUACACCACUUUGAUUUUAUAAAUAGCAAUGAUUUCAAACAUAUUUUAUGAUGAGGGUCUUCUGUUUUAUGAUUUUCUUGUCACAUGACAACAAUGGCUUCUGCAAGGUGGUUAUGCCACAUGUUCAAAUAUUAAUAAUAUUCUUAAUAUUAUUUAUAUGAUUAAAGUAUUUAAAAAUAAAUGCAAUUAAAUAAUAUUGUUUAAUAUUAUUAUAUAUUAAACACAUUAAUAAAAAAAUACUGUGAAAAUUGAAUUUUUUGGCAAUAAUAAUGGACUUCAAGAUUGAGUAUUUCAGCACUUUUUAUUCAAUGACCGUCAUUAAAUCAUAUUUCUGACGAAAAUGGUAGGCCUGUAAACUUAUUUCAGAAAUCCAAAAUGGAUACAAAGAUUACAUUGAAAAACUAAUUUUUUAAAUAGAUUUUUAUCAUCUUGAAUAUUCUUUUGUCUUUGUCCCAGUAAAGCAAACAUGAAAACAAUAUCAUCAGAACAUAGAAAGGUAUACAGUUUUGAAACAUGAGGGUGAGUAAAUUACAGAAUUUUCCCUUUAUAUAAUAAUUCAGUAUUUUGUAAUUGGUAUUUUAGUGUGGUUAACAGAUGCUAAACUGUUCAAUAACAAUAAAAUGUGCUAAAUCAGAA
Cyprinus carpio carpio is the source of this 1341-nucleotide long non-coding RNA. Lineage: Eukaryota; Metazoa; Chordata; Actinopteri; Cypriniformes; Cyprinidae. The record is from Ensembl.